Molecule: ribosomal RNA, 253 nt
Filed under: uncultured bacterium
Lineage: Bacteria
Description: partial 16S ribosomal RNA
Rfam family: Bacterial small subunit ribosomal RNA
Source: RNAcentral
UACGUAGGGUGCAAGCGUUGGCCGGAAUUAUUGGGCGUAAAGAGCUCGUAGGCGGUCUGUCGCGUCGGAUGUGAAAACCCAGGGCUCAACCCUGGGCCUGCAUUCGAUACGGGCAGACUAGAGUUCGGUAGGGGAGACUGGAAUUCCUGGUGUAGCGGUGAAAUGCGCAGAUAUCAGGAGGAACACCGGUGGCGAAGGCGGGUCUCUGGGCCGAAACUGACGCUGAGGAGCGAAAGCGUGGGGAGCAAACAGG